UUGACGGCGACGGCGGAGAGAAGGGCGGGCGGAUCUAGUGAAGUGUCUGUGUAAAUGUGGAGGAUGAAGCAUACGGCCUUCCCUGCAGCCAGGGUAGAUCACAGCCACCACUAAUCAAGGGCAUUAUGCUUGUCUUUUUAAAAGCUAGUUGGAAGGUAAGUGGGGAAAGCCCCAUCCAAUACAAGGCUUUGACUCUGCCUUGCUAACAUCAGAAGAGGAUUUACUGGGAAUGCUAAGAUGUUAUACCAUUCACUACAUUCCCUGUCCAAUGCAAUGCACAAAUUGUAUUACUGGAGGUUGAUGCAAUAACCUUUUAUUAACAAUCUAUGAGCUCUAUGAGCCAUUUGCUAGCUCACAGAAAAAAGAAAUUGCACUAUCACCUGAGUUCAUGAGAUUGCUUUUUUUUUUUGUUUAUUUGGGUUUUUUUGUUUGUUUUUGUUUUAAUCUGCACAAUGGAUCAAAGAUCUAGCCUGUAACAACUAGUUUAAUUACAAAUAUACAAAAUCAGGAAAGGUUAAGACAUAGUGUUCAAUGCUACCACAUAGCACAAAGACUUCUCUACAUUCUGAAUCAUUGCUAAAAUGGCAGCAUCUGACAAACAUGCAUAUAAUUUGGGUUUUGUCUCAGGGAAAGUAUCUAAUAUUGGGUGUUAGCGGCUGAAGUCACAAAUCCUGUGUAACAGUGUGCUCGUAAAUGGCAAAGCAGUAGGUUUAGAGUACAUCUGCUUUAUCAUGUUCUUUAACCAUAUCAAUGAUAUGGAAACAGGCAGAUUUAAAUCACACAAUUAUUAACAGUUACUAUCCUUAGCUGUCUAGUCUUACAUCUCUUCACAAAAAGGGAAUCACAAAAGCUGUUUUUUCCACAAAUGGCUAAACUUCUUCUAGUGUCUGUCCUUAAUUUAAAUAGUUCAUAGUCUGAAAUUUUAGGAUUAUCAGAAAUUGGUGUUGUCUAGCUGAAUAGUUUGUACUUACCCUAUUAGUAAGUGGUACUUCAGUAAAAUUCACUUUUAAUAACCAUUUGGAGAUAGACAGUUUUCAAAGGCUUUUUGUUAAAUUUCUAACCAAAAUGCAAGAAUCUUCUUAGAGAGUACAUUUUUAAAAUGUGAUUUAGACUGUAUCUUGAACAUUUGCUUGUUAUUAAAGACUUCAGGCAAUAUCCUAAGAAUCUUAACCUUCUUCUUUCAGAGAGAAAAGGAAGCAAAAAUGUGUCAAAUCUAGAAAAUGGUUUUUGACAUGGCAAGUUAUAACAUAGAUGAUCCUGAAUAUUACAGUAGCCAUUUCUGAAGGUGACAGAGGCAGGAAGAAGACCUCCAUGGACAGCAGCCAUUGUGUCCUAAAAAAAGGAAAAUGCAUCCUUGAGACAAAAGUCCAUUUAUUCAACAUUCACUAUGAAAUGCCAUUUUUCAAAUACACCACCUACAUGGGUGUGUGGCUUAGACAGACAAAAAGGAAUAGGUUGAAGAACUUGCAGACAAGACAAAAAAACAAGGCAAUCUCAAAUCAUCCUUUUAAUAUGUUUUUUUCUGCCCUGAACUGUUACUUUAGGUUAUAUGUGGACUUGUUCUUUUCACUGUGUCAGCUAGAACAAGUAGUAAGAAGGUAGUCCCUGUGGCUGAUGCUAUACAUAUUCCUGGGGCUGUCUUUAAUGAAUGUAACCCUUGCAUUCUCUUCUUUCUGCAGGCUGUUGUGUUGGGCACUGGACAGGCUCCUCAGAGCAGUAGUCACAGCUCCAAGGCUGCCAGAGCUCCAGGAGCGUUUGGACAAUGCUCCCAGGCAGGGAUUGUAGGGGUGUCUGUGCAGGGCCAGUAGUUGGACUUGAUGAUCCCAGUGGGUCUCCCCCACCUCAGGAGGUUCUCUGAUUCUGUGUGCACUCGAGCUGCUGAGCAUGACGCUAAAUGUAUUAGAGGUUCCCUGGUUUCUAACCUGCCGGGUGGGUGGUGGGGUUGCUUCUGGUUGAAUUGCUAAACAGUAGGUCUGCCCCAUAUAGGUUUAUGAGCAAGGGAAACUGGGAUGUGAAGAAAAGCAGCGUUCAUGUUCAACUGUCUAUGGUAAACGGUAAACAUUACACAAGAAAGAUUUCUGAAAGUGGACUGUAAACUAGAAAGUUGUCCUCAGAAAAUAAAUCCAAAUCACAGUUCAUGGCUUAAACAAAUCUGGUAAAUGUGGUGUCUGUAAAGGUCUCGUGAUCUCUAUCCAAACUGUAAGAUAAACAAUGGUGAUAUUAAAAAAAAAAAAAAAACACAUUGCAAAGACAAGAGAACAGAUUUAGCCCUAAAGAAAAAUUUAGAACAGAUUAAGCCCUAAAGAAACUACUGUAAUACUGACAGUGAGAAACAUGGCAUAACUCUUAUAGAAAUAAAUAAUUCAUUGAAAUAUAUAUUUAGACUUUACAAUGCAGGCACUUUGAACUUAGUAAUUUUUUAAGGCAAGGUUAAAGUAACUGCUUUUAAAUGUUUUGGUACGGGAAAUUAACUUAAAACCUAAUUUUGAUAUGGGAAGCUUUUUGAAACUAAAAUACUUUUUAAUUUUAUUAAAAUCAAGCUGAAAUAAUUUUGGCCUAUAUGGAUCCCAGUUUUAUGAGAUAAAAUACUGUGGUGCACACCCAUAUUAAAAAGGUUUCCCUUCCCUCUUUUUGAUUUACUUUAUAAAUCUAUACUUCUUUAAUAUGCAUCUAAAAACAUUGUCCAUUGUUCCUGAGAAUUAUUUUUUAAGCAUAAAUAGAUUUACUUUAUCAUGUUACCAAUUUAUUUUCAUCAAGAAGCUUCUUUGUAUCUUCUGAAUCACAUCAGUAUAAAGUAAAAGGCAAUUGAACCACAUUAACAGAUUAAUUUUGUACAUAUUGUUAUACCUUGGGUAGAUGGAUCAAGUGUACCUGUACCUUCUUUUGAAAUUUCGGGUUUUGGCUAAACUUCUAUUUUGGAAGCUAAAAGAAUGUGUGCUUAAAAUUACAGAAAUCAUUAGAAUUGUUAAAAAUUAUUCAGCUUCAUUUAAUAAAGGUGAUGAGUUCUUUUUUUUUCUAUAAUUACUAUUUCUGGAAUUCUAAUACUAUAGAAAAUGUCAAUGUUUUAAUAUCUUUCUUUACUUCUUUUCUUCUUCCCAUGUUCCAAGUCAGGAAGAAGACUAAAGCUCUGUGAAGCACAAAAUUGUACUUCUAGUACUGUUUUAUUCACCAGGGAGCUCUUACUGCUCAUUUUAAAGAACACUGAUCAGAAUGCUUCUAUUGGUGCCGCCUAUGUUACACAAACUGCGAGACUGAACACGCACAGAGUUUCUGGAAAGGAACGCCAAAUACCAGACUUGUAUUUCAGAGUUAUAGAUCGAAAACAGGCCAUGAAGAAAUACAGACACCUAAGGAUUCAGUCUGGAAUGAAAUGCAUGCUUCUUCCCAGAAGGACAGUUGACCAGAACUCCAUAUGCUGUAUUAUAAAGAGAACCUAAUUUCACUGUAUCUUGUGUGAUUCCCAUAUUCUGACUAGACAUCUGCUGUUAGCUUGUAUUGGGUUUACAUGGCAAGGAUUUGGUAGUGGGAAAGCUGCAGGGGUGGCUUCUGUGAAAAAACUUGGGAGUUUCCCUCUUGUCCAAUAGAGUCAGUUCCAGCUAUCUCCAAGACAGACCUACUGCUGCCUAAAGCUGAGCCCAUCAGCAAUGUUGGUUGGGCCUCUGUGAUAAAAUGUAAGAAAGUGUAAAACCACUGUGGAGCAGCUGGGUGAAAGUGGAGUCAGAAAAAUGUGUAAUAAUCCUGCAGACAACCAAGGUCAGUGAAGGAGGGAGAGGAGGUGCUCCACACACCAGAGCAGAGAUUUGCCUGCUCUGCAGAGGAAGACCAUGGUGAUGUGUGUUGAGGCCCUGUGACCUAUGGAGGACUCCACACCAGGACAGUCUACUGGCAGAAACUGUGGUCCAGGGAGAGGUGACAGGAGCUGGUUUUCUAGCAGGAUCAUGGCCUGGGCAGGAGGGGAACAGGGGGACGAUACCCACACUGUAACAAUCUCUUCCUGAAGAACCGUACCCCAUGGAAAGAGCCCAUGCUGAAGAGAGAAGC
Passer domesticus (house sparrow) is the source of this 4041-nucleotide long non-coding RNA. RefSeq lists it as uncharacterized. The transcript is spliced from 4 exons. The record is from RefSeq and is a predicted model, not a curated record. NCBI's taxonomy places the organism in Eukaryota, Metazoa, Chordata, Aves, Passeriformes, Passeridae.